RNAcentral lists this ribosomal RNA (897 nucleotides) under uncultured archaeon. RNAcentral describes it as "bacterial SSU rRNA". It matches the Rfam family "Archaeal small subunit ribosomal RNA", at positions 26 to 897 of the family's 1478-position model. The record is from RNAcentral.
CCUGCUUCGGGAUAGGACUAAGAAUGCUAGUUGAGCGCUUCCAGCCAACACGGGAGCGCAGCGCACAGCUCAGUAACACGUGGCUAAUCUGCCCUUGGGACCGGAACACCCCCGGGAAACUGGGGCUAAUUCUCGAUAGGUGAAGAACUCUGGAAUGAGUCUCCGCUUAAAAGACGCUUACGUUAUGCUCGUAGGCGCCGCCCAAGGAUGAGGCCGCGACCGAUCAGGUUGUUGGUGAGGUAAUGGCUCACCAAGCCUUUUACCGGUGCGGGCCGUGAGAGCGGGAGCCCGGAGAUGGGCACUGAGACAAGGCCCCAGGCCCUACGGGGCGCAGCAGGCGCGAAAACUUCACAAUGCGCGAAAGCGUGAUGAGGGAACCCCAAGUGCCGCUGGCAUUUUGUCGGCGGCUUUUCGGGAGUGUAAGAAGCUCCCAGAAUAAGGGGUGGGCAAGUCUGGUGUCAGCCGCCGUGGUAAUACCAGCACCCCGAGUGGUCGGGACGAUUAUUGGGCCUAAAGCAUCCGUAGCCGGUUCUGCAAGUCUUCCGUUAAAUCCAGCCGCUCAACGGAUGGGCCGCGGAGGAUACUACAGGACUAGGAGGCGGGAGAGGCAAGCGGUACUCAGUGGGUAGGGGUAAAAUCCUUUGAUCCAUUGAAGACCACCAGUGGCGAAGGCGGCUUGCCAGAACGCGCUCGACGGUGAGGGAUGAAAGCUGGGGGAGCAAACCGGAUUAGAUACCCGGGUAGUCCCAGCUGUAAACGAUGCAGACUCGGUGAUGGGCUAGCCUUGUGCCAGCCCAGUGCCGCAGGGAAGCCGUUAAGUCUGCCGCCUGGGGAGUACGGUCGCAAGACUGAAACUUAAAGGAAUUGGCGGGGGAGCACCACAAGGGGUGAAGCUCG